This 557-nucleotide ribosomal RNA is filed under the name uncultured Novosphingobium sp. RNAcentral describes it as "bacterial SSU rRNA". It matches the Rfam family "Bacterial small subunit ribosomal RNA", at positions 102 to 694 of the family's 1533-position model. Lineage: Bacteria; Pseudomonadati; Pseudomonadota; Alphaproteobacteria; Sphingomonadales; Sphingomonadaceae. The record is from RNAcentral.
ACGGGUGCGUAACGCGUGGGAAUCUGCCCCUUGGUUCGGAAUAACAGCGAGAAAUUGCUGCUAAUACCGGAUGAUGACUUCGGUCCAAAGAUUUAUCGCCAAGGGAUGAGCCCGCGUAAGAUUAGGUAGUUGGUGGGGUAAUGGCCUACCAAGCCGACGAUCUUUAGCUGGUCUGAGAGGAUGAUCAGCCACACUGGGACUGAGACACGGCCCAGACUCCUACGGGAGGCAGCAGUGGGGAAUAUUAGACAAUGGGCGAAAGCCUGAUCCAGCAAUGCCGCGUGAGUGAUGAAGGCCUUAGGGUUGUAAAGCUCUUUUACCAGGGAUGAUAAUGACAGUACCUGGAGAAUAAGCUCCGGCUAACUCCGUGCCAGCAGCCGCGGUAAUACGGAGGGAGCUAGCGUUGUUCGGAAUUACUGGGCGUAAAGCGCACGUAGGCGGCUACUCAAGUCAGAGGUGAAAGCCCGGGGCUCAACCCCGGAACUGCCUUUGAAACUAGGUAGCUAGAAUCUUGGAGAGGUCAGUGGAAUUCCGAGUGUAGAGGUGAAAUUCGUAGA